RNAcentral lists this unclassified non-coding RNA (296 nucleotides) under Ensifer fredii. RNAcentral's name for it is "Sinorhizobium fredii partial ribonuclease P RNA". It matches the Rfam family "Bacterial RNase P class A", at positions 62 to 334 of the family's 367-position model. From Rfam's summary of the family: Ribonuclease P (RNase P) is a ubiquitous endoribonuclease, found in archaea, bacteria and eukarya as well as chloroplasts and mitochondria. Its best characterised activity is the generation of mature 5'-ends of tRNAs by cleaving the 5'-leader elements of precursor-tRNAs. Lineage: Bacteria; Pseudomonadati; Pseudomonadota; Alphaproteobacteria; Hyphomicrobiales; Rhizobiaceae. The record is from RNAcentral.
CGGAAACACGGUGCCGGAUAACGUCCGGCGGGGGCGACCCCAGGGAAAGUGCCACAGAAAGCAAACCGCUCCGCCUCGCGGAGUAAGGGUGAAAGGGUGGGGUAAGAGCCCACCGCGGACAUGGCGACAUGGACGGCACGGUAAACCCCACCGGGAGCAAAACCGAAUAGGGAUGACACGGGCGCGCAAGCGUCCAGCCGGUUUCCAGGCCGGUCAUCCGGGUGGGUUGCACGAGGCUGCGCGCAAGCGCAGUCCCAGAUGAAUGGCUGCCACGUUCCGCUUCCUCGGAGGCGGAG